RNAcentral lists this transfer RNA (72 nucleotides) under Camelus bactrianus (Bactrian camel). It matches the Rfam family "tRNA". Rfam says of the family: Transfer RNA (tRNA) molecules are approximately 80 nucleotides in length. Their secondary structure includes four short double-helical elements and three loops (D, anti-codon, and T loops). Further hydrogen bonds mediate the characteristic L-shaped molecular structure. tRNAs have two regions of fundamental functional importance: the anti-codon, which is responsible for specific mRNA codon recognition, and the 3' end, to which the tRNAs corresponding amino acid is attached (by aminoacyl-tRNA synthetases). tRNAs cope with the degeneracy of the genetic code in two manners: having more than one tRNA (with a specific anti-codon) for a particular amino acid; and 'wobble' base-pairing, i.e. permitting non-standard base-pairing at the 3rd anti-codon position. The record is from Rfam by way of RNAcentral. RNAcentral also lists the same sequence under 2 other names. Lineage: Eukaryota; Metazoa; Chordata; Mammalia; Artiodactyla; Camelidae.
GUGGGUAUAGCUCAGUGGUAGAGCACAUGCCUAGCAUGCAUGAGGUCAUGGGUUGAAUCCCCAGUACCUCCA